This 431-nucleotide unclassified non-coding RNA is filed under the name Hevea brasiliensis (rubber tree). The record is from RNAcentral. Lineage: Eukaryota; Viridiplantae; Streptophyta; Magnoliopsida; Malpighiales; Euphorbiaceae.
AAGAAAGAAAAAACUUCGGUGCCAAGGCAAAAAGACUUCUUCCACUUUUUGAUGCCAUUGAUGCAGAAACCGAAGAUGGGAUGCAAAAUGGGUAUGCAGAAGGAGUUGAUUCUGUUGCCUUGCUGAAAUCAGUCAACAAAUUUGAAGUUGAAAGCAAGAAGCUUGCAAUUGAGGAGGAGGUGGAUCAUGUCUAUGAAAGGCUACAAGCACUGGAGGCAGAUAGAGAGUUUCUCAAGCAUUGUAUAACCUCCUUAAAGAAAGGGGAUAAAGGGAUAGAGCUUCUGCAAGAGAUUUUACAUCAUCUUCGUGAUCCGAUCUAAGAAGCGUGGAACUCCGCGUAAGGAACAUGGAGGAGGGUGCUCUAUAACGACAUUGUGCUCAGCUAUCACAAAGAAGAUAUUGGCAGAUUGCAUUAUGGAAGCUGAUAAAAA